CGCAAGAGCAAGUGGACGAAGGCAUACACGAUGGCCGAGGACAAGCUCCUAUGUGAGUGUUGAAGGGACAUUGGGCAAGACCCCAAGGUCGGCGCCGAACAAAAGGCAUCAACCUUUUGGAUUCGUGUCCACUUUGAGUUCCAUGAGCGCAAGAUGUUUCCGCCGUACCAAAUGCGAAGCACGCACGGGUGGGUGUCCAUUUCGAAGCGAUGGAGGGUGAUCCAACAAGAGUGCAACAAGUUUUGUGCCACUCUUGAGAGCGUCAAGGCCCGCGCCGUGAGCGGCAUCGGCAUGCAAGACAUGGUAUGCAAGCAGCCCUCUUUUGUGUCAUUUCGUUUAUGCUUGCAUGUCCAUUUCCAUAUCCAUUUUGUCAAUAUGCUUGCAUGCAAUACAUUUGUAGGCAUUCAAAGCUUUGGAGGCAUUCAAGGUCCAACACGACGGCAAGUGCUUCAACCUCUCCCAUUGUUGGAGGGUCAUCAAAGACGAGGAGAAGUUCAAGGCGCAAUAUGCUGCCCUCAAGUCACGUGUGGGGAAGAGGGCCGUGGAGGAGGAAGACAAUGA
Molecule: ribosomal RNA, 561 nt
Filed under: Triticum aestivum (bread wheat)
Lineage: Eukaryota; Viridiplantae; Streptophyta; Magnoliopsida; Poales; Poaceae
Description: partial small subunit ribosomal RNA
Source: RNAcentral